UUUUUAUGGGCUUCAGCUGAUUUGACUGACAGGGGUAGCUUGGUACAUUGCCAAAAGGCUGGAUGCCUGCUUCAGUUUUACCUUAUUUCCAGUGGUUAGACUGAUUUAAAGUUUUGUUGAUUCAGAAUUCCUCGUGUGGGGAAUAUCAUUAUUUGGCUUUAAAACAACACUUCUUGACAACACUUCGAUGGAUGAAGCUACUGAGACUAUGUGUAUGAUUUAUUAAAUUCACCAUAAAUAUAUAAUUCUACAGACCUCUGAAUUAAUGGUCUGCUUUUGCUCAUCCAUCCAUCCAUCUAUUAUUAUCUUUUCACGCUCAUCCACACAGUCUAUGUUAUAUAAAGAGUUAGUGUUGCCGGAGUGACCUAUCCUAAUAUGGUGCAUAACUUCCUCUUAAAUCAAUGGCAUUGUUGAGAAUUUAUGAUGGUGUAGUCUACAGCUAAUAACACUGUUUGUGAGCGCACCCUGAUUAAUAUCCGAACCCCAUAUUUACACGCAUGACAACUGACCUCUUACAUAAUUCAUGCUACAUUUUUCAUGGAUAUUUGAGGCUCAUGAGACAAACUGAAGUUCUUUUUUGUUGGCGCGGGUUAACUCUACCCUCACACUUUGACCACACCCUCUAUUUUUGAGCUGUUGAUCCAUAUGCCUUACAAUCUUGUGCUCCACAAAUCUCUACCCACCCUAUAACUUCUGCAAAUUUCUAUCAAUAGCUCUUCCAUAGUUCAUUUUAUGGUUCAACAUCAAUUAAAAAUAUUAUAUUAUAAAUUGCCAUUGAUAUGUCGUUUAACCUUAUCCUGUAUGAGGUAAACUGAGGUAAGAGGUGUGGUACAACAUUUUCAAAUGAAGCCUGAUGCCAGACUGGGCAUGGUAGUGCCAUCGCACGGCAGGAUGCCCACUGAGUAAUGAUGUCAAAAAAUCUAGUCCCAAAAGACUUGAAUAUAAAAGAGUGUAAGAGGACACCAGACCUGCCUCUGGUUACUGGGCGUGUGAGUCAAACAGUUUUAUUUCAAACACUGUAACUCUAUAAAUUACUUAUGAUAAAACAUCAUGUUAUAUCAAAGCAGAAGACAAAGGGCUUGAUGGCCAACUGAGACACUCUGUUCUUGCAGGGGAUCAGAUCAUAUCUGACUGAACUGCAGGGGUUAAAAUUUUAAAAAUAGCACAGUAUCACUUUUACCAUAGAGAAAGAUACAUAUUCCAUGUUUUUAAUUGGUGUGAACUAGAAAGUUAAAUGUAAAUCUAGCAUGUGCAAAGGAGGAUUUCACAGUAGAAAGUAACUUCAAUAGAUAGAUAAACAAAAAAUGUGUGUGUUUAUGCAAAUGUGGGUGGAUCAAACUCACAGAUGGUAUCACACUGAGCUGUGUCAAAAAACUGCAAGCAAUAUGUGUCACAGCAUGUUUUGUGUGAAAAUAAAAGGAUAUAAAUGUGCAUCGUUAUUAGAUGCAUUGCCUCAGAUCAAAUCUGCAAACACAGAUCAGAUACAAGAAGUGUGCAGACAAAAAUAAAUCAAAGAAAGACGUAAAAGCCCUGCGGGAUAAAACUGCAUGUUUCAUGUUCAGAUUUCACCACAAACACUGGAUAGUAAUUUGCCAGCAGGGAUGUUUUUAGGAGUAUCAUUUCUGCAGAUAUAAAAACGCUGUCAGAGGCAAACUGUGUUGAAUGAUUAAGGAGCUGCAGCGAGGAGUCAGUGGGAUUUUUUUUCUUUCUUUUUUCCUGCUGUGCCUGUUUUCCCCUUCUCUCUCUGUUUCUGCCUCUCCCCAACAGUCUGCCACACGUGAGCAGACAGAGAUGGAAAUGAGAGAGGGAGCAGCCCAAGGACGCCCAGAUAACACACAGACGUAUGCUGAGUCUUCCUGUCUGUUUCUGUCUCCCACCCUCGUACUGAACAUAAGAGAUGCUUUCAACUACAAAAUGCAUAUCACUGGUAUGAAACAAUUUCAACAUUGCUCAAAAUAAAGCAUAAAUUACUGACCAAUACUUUUUCAUAUGAGGGCCACCUAGUGGUCAGACAUGGUGCAGAUUGCCUUUUUGAUGGAUUUUGGCAACAUGAUAUUGAAAAGGUAUGUACAUACCUCUGAGGAUUUAUAUAUUUCAAUAUGGCUGACUUUGCCAAAUAAGAAUAUCUCAGGAAGCUUUUUAUCAGCCUCCCAAGGAUCAUAUUAAACAUUCCUAUUGAUAAUAUCUUCACAUACAGGACAAUAUGAGAUAGAACAGUGGGAUCAUUACAGGAGCUGUACCAUCCCAGGCUAAAAACAUACUAUGAAAUUCCGCAUAUAACUCUAAACGUUUAAGUGUCACUGAGUAAGUGUUAUUUUCAACAGAAUAAGAGGAUUAAAGCACAAAAGAGCCUUUUCCUGUUGAAAUGAAACCUAAGAUCAUUUCUAGUAACACAGAGUUCAGGAAAGUAAAAGCAAAUGUAGAGCACAGCAAGCUCCCAUGGGGAUAAAAGCACCGACUACAUCUACUGCCAACUCCAGGGUACCUUUCUCUCCCCAGGCACUAUGUGUCCUUAGCUGCUCUCUCAUUAGCCGCUUACCCUCCACACCUGUUCCCUGGUCAAGUCCAUGGACACGUUUUCUCUGCCUGUAUCACUGCAUAUCUGCACCAACAAAAUCCUUCUUCCUGUCUUACAGCAGAUUUUUAUUACAGCGUGCGUGCCUGCCAGUAUCAGUGCAAAUUUCCCUUUGAACUUAGAUUUAGUAAGUUUAUUUUCAACCCUGCCUGCUGUUCACUGCCUGCUGCUUUCUGUCUCCUUCUCUGUUUGCCAGUUAUCCAAAACUGCGGCACACAAGGGAUGCUUUGUGAAGGCUUUGAAAUGCAUACAGACAGGCAGACAACUGUUUUUAAAUGAAUACACCAAUCCUUACCGUACAUAAAUGUAUAAGUGCAUGCAAGUUAAACAAAAUAAGAAAACUCUUCUGUUGUAUACAGUCCAAACACUGAUAAGUUUUUAUAUUUAUUUUCAAGAGCUGUCUUUUAAGAGUUCAACAAAACAAAAAUAAAACUUUUGUUCCUGAUACAUGGGCCAAAUACAUGGUCCAAUGUCUGCCCAACUGACCAUCAGUAAGAUUUAGGUACUUAAAAAGCAUAAGGGAUGGCUAAAAAUGAGGGGGGAAAUAUAUAUAUUUAACCCUAGGACACUAUUGCUAAAAUUAGUAACACCAUCACUAUCCCCAGGUGAUUUUUACUCGAAAUAAUAUACCCAAAUUUCUUUUCCACCCAUUACCGGGACAUGUGAGUCUUCCCUGGUGAAGACUCAGGGUCCUUGGCACAAUAACAGCUGCAGGAGACAGAUCCAAAAUUGGGCAGAUUUUGAGUGAGUAAAAAUGUAGGAAAAAGCAGGUUUUGGAUCAGGGAAACAAAUAUGCCUUUAAAGAUGUCAACGGCAAUGCUGAAACUACCCAGGGACCCAUGAUACUCAGACAAACACAGUAUAAUGAAAAUCACGUUAAGAUGUUUGGUCGGGUGAAAAUCACCCGGCGAUAGUGUUGUAGGGUUAAAAAGAUUCCAAACAACUUUGCCCCUGAGCAGAGCCGGCUCAAGGCAUUAGCAAACUAAGCACCUGCCUAGGGGCCUGCUAUAAAUAGGGGCCCCCAAGAGCAAUCAAAAAGAAAUAAUAUUAAUAUAUAUAUAUAUAUAUAUAUUUUACAUGUAUGAGUGGUACUUUCUGUAUGAUCAAAUAUAUAUUAUCGUGAAAAUAAGAUAAAGUAAAAACAUUUCAGUGCUGCUGCUGAUGUAGGCCUAUGAUUCUUAUUGUCUAUAUGUCAAAGCUCAGCCAGCGUUAUGUGCCUUCUGCUGUGCAAUGUGCACUGAGCAUCUAAAACACAGGUGGUUGUGGGGCAAAACAGUAUUGCAAAAAAGGACAAAUCCUUCAGGAGCAGAGAAAAGAAAGAGGAAGAAGAGAAAAAAACGCCAAGAUAAAGGUAUGUUUGCAUGUCAUGGACUGUCAAUCAAAGAGAUUUGUGAAGGUGUGUGAAUGAUCAACAAUCAAUAUUAUUGGCAGAAAUAGAGGGCCCCAAUACCAAAUUUUGCUUAGGGCCCUACUGAGGCUUGGGCCGGCUCUGCCCCCGAGUACACACGUCUUUCUAUUCCAGCUUUGUAAUAUGAGUCUUUCACCACUAGUGGUCAUCAAAGUAUUUUAAGUUGGUUUGACUCAGUGAUUGCGUUGCCUUCAUGGUAUGUAGGUAACUAUACGAAUCCAGUACGUUUCGUCCUCGUGAUAAUGAAUUUAUUCAUCGAUAGUUCAUAAGUAUUACUAUAAGUCCCACUGACUGAGUUUAAUGCUUCCAUAUAAUGUCCUUGUUGAUUUUGUUAAACUGUUCACCCGCCCUUUUACGAUUUUAAUAUUAUAGAUAUACAUUUCAUCAUUGUUCAUUAUGUUGUUGCAGUAAAAUUCAGUUUAUCAAGAAUAACUUUAAAAAACCAAUUGAAGAGUCAGAUGUUUUCAAACAUAACAGUCGUUUCUGAAUUGCAAUGUAUUACUGUAUUUGUUGAAAGGAUAAAGACGGAGCUG
Molecule: non-coding RNA, 4516 nt
Organism: Xyrichtys novacula (pearly razorfish)
Lineage: Eukaryota; Metazoa; Chordata; Actinopteri; Labriformes; Labridae
Source: the annotation of a GenBank genome assembly